GGGCUCGCUUUGGCAGCACAUAUACUAAAAUUGGAACGAUACAGAGAUUAGCAUGGCCCCUGCACAAGGAUGACGCACAAAUUCAUGAAGCGUUCCAUAUUAAA
This is a small nuclear RNA of Phacochoerus africanus (Common warthog), 104 nucleotides long. Lineage: Eukaryota; Metazoa; Chordata; Mammalia; Artiodactyla; Suidae. The record is from RefSeq and is a predicted model, not a curated record.